UACAUGUUGGGACCCGAAAGAUGGUGAACUAUGCCUGAGUAGGGCGAAGUCAGGGGAAACCCUGAUGGAGGCUCGUAGGGAUUCUGACGUGCAAAUCGAUCUUCAAACUUGGGUAUAGGGGCGAAAGACUAAUCGAACCAUCUAGUAGCUGGUUCCCUCCGAAGUUUCCCUCAGGAUAGCUGGGACAAUCACGCAGUUUUAUUAGGUAAAGCGAAUGAUUAGAGGAAUCGGGGAUAAAAUGUCCUUGACCUAUUCUCAAACUUUAAAUUGGUAAGAACUCCCGUCUUCGCUUAAUUGAAGCAGGAGGUUCAAUGCGUGUCCUUAGUGGGCCAUUUUUGGUAAGCAGAACUGGCGAUGAGGGAUGCUCCUAACGUCUGGUUAAGGUGCCAAACUGCACGCUCAUCAGAAACUACAAAGGGUGUUAGUUCAUACAGACAGCAGGACGGUGGCCAUGGAAGUCGGAAUCCGCUAAGGAGUGUGUAACAACUCACCUGCCGAAUGAACUAGCCCUGAAAAUGGAUGGCGCU
RNAcentral lists this ribosomal RNA (527 nucleotides) under Schmidingerella taraikaensis. RNAcentral describes it as "partial Eukaryotic large subunit ribosomal RNA". It matches the Rfam family "Eukaryotic large subunit ribosomal RNA", at positions 803 to 1329 of the family's 3401-position model. Lineage: Eukaryota; Ciliophora; Spirotrichea; Tintinnida; Rhabdonellidae. The record is from RNAcentral.